Molecule: ribosomal RNA, 498 nt
Filed under: uncultured bacterium
Lineage: Bacteria
Description: bacterial SSU rRNA
Rfam family: Bacterial small subunit ribosomal RNA
Source: RNAcentral
AACGAACGCUGGCGGCGCGCCUAAUACAUGCAAGUCGAGCGAGAAGACGUAGCAAUACGUUUGUAAAGCGGCGAACGGGUGAGGAAUACAUGGGUAACCUACCCUCGAGUGGGGAAUAACUAGCCGAAAGGUUAGCUAAUACCGCGUACGCUCCUUGGACUUCGGUUCAGGGAGGAAAGCGAUACCGCGGGUAUCGCGCUCUUGGAUGGGCUCAUGUCCUAUCAGCUUGUUGGUGAGGAACGGCUCACCAAGGCUUCGACGGGUAGCUGGUCUGAGAGGACGAUCAGCCACACUGGCACUGCGACACGGGCCAGACUCCUACGGGAGGCAGCAGUAAGGAAUAUUGCGCAAUGGGCGAAAGCCUGACGCAGCGACGCCGCGUGGGGGAUGAAGGUCUUCGGAUUGUAAACCCCUUUCGGGAGGGAAGACGGAACGAGCAAUCGUUCGGACGGUACCUCCAGAAGCAGCCACGGCUAACUUCGUGCCAGCCGCCGCGGU